UGCCCUACGGGAGGCUGCAGUCGGGAAUUUUGGGCAAUGGGCGAAAGCCUGACCCAGCAACGCCGCGUGAAGGAUGAAGUAUUUCGGUAUGUAAACUUCGAAAGAAUAGGAAGAAUUAAUGACGGUACUAUUUAUAAGGUCCGGCUAACUACGUGCCAGCAGCCGCGGUAAUACGUAGGGACCAAGCGUUGUUCGGAUUUACUGGGCGUAAAGGGCGCGUAGGCGGCAAUUCAAGUCAGCUGUGAAAUCUCUGGGCUUAACCCGGAACGGCCAGCUGAUACUGCUUUGCUAGAGUGCGGAAGGGGCAAUCGGAAUUCUUAGUGUAGCGGUGAAAUGCGUAGAUAUCAAGAGGAACACCUGAGGUGAAGACGGGUUGCUGGGCCGACACUGACGCUGAGGCGCGAAAGCCAGGGGAGCAAACGGGAUUAGAUACCCGGGUAGUCAU
This 445-nucleotide ribosomal RNA is filed under the name uncultured bacterium. Its description in RNAcentral is "bacterial SSU rRNA". It matches the Rfam family "Bacterial small subunit ribosomal RNA", at positions 335 to 797 of the family's 1533-position model. The record is from RNAcentral.